RNAcentral lists this ribosomal RNA (766 nucleotides) under fungal endophyte. RNAcentral's name for it is "eukaryotic LSU rRNA". The stretch from base 497 to 766 matches the Rfam family "Eukaryotic large subunit ribosomal RNA", at positions 1 to 273 of the family's 3401-position model. The record is from RNAcentral. Lineage: Eukaryota; Fungi.
CAUUAAAGAGUUCUAUAACUCCCAAACCCAUGUGAACAUACCUAACGUUGCCUCGGCAGGUCGCACCUACCUUGUAGCACCCUACCCUGUAGGGCCUACCCGAGAGAUGCGGGUAAGCCUGCCGGCGGCCCACCAAACUCUGUUUGAUAUUGAAUUCUGAACAUAUAACUAAAUAAGUUAAAACUUUCAACAACGGAUCUCUUGGUUCUGGCAUCGAUGAAGAACGCAGCGAAAUGCGAUAAGUAAUGUGAAUUGCAGAAUUCAGUGAAUCAUCGAAUCUUUGAACGCAUAUUGCGCCCAUUAGUAUUCUAGUGGGCAGGACCGUUCGAGCGUCAUUUCGACCCUUAAGCCUUAGUUGCUUAGUGUUGGGAGCCUACGGCAACGUAGCUCCUCAAAGUUAGUGGCGGAGUUGGUUCACACUCUAGACGUAGUAAUUUUUUAUCUCGCCUAUUAGUUGGACUGAUCCCCUGCCGUAAAACCCCCAACUUAUCAAGGUUGACCUCGAAUCGGUUCAGACAAACUCGCUAAAUUGAAGCAUCUUAGUCAGCGAAGGAAAAGAAACCAACAGGGAUUGCCCUAGUAACGGCGAGUGAAGCGGCAACAGCUCAAAUUUGAAAUCUGGCCCUCGGGUCCGAGUUGUAAUUUGUAGAGGAUGCUUUUGGCGCGGUGCCUUCCGAGUUCCCUGGAACGGGACGCCUUAGAGGGUGAGAGCCCCGUACGGUUGGACACCAAGCCUCUGUAAAGCUCCUUCGACGAGUCGAGUAGC